UUCUCCAGCGAUUCCGACAUUAGAUCUACUCUACUGGGUUCAACUUCUCGGUAUUACAAAACCCUGACAAGCAUUUUGAGGAAGCAAAAUCAGUUAUAGAUAGUGUUUUAGAAUUCCUGAACACUAACGAAAACUCUGAAGAUAAUAUGAAGGAGAAUGAAAACCCUCAAAAGAAUAGACUAGCUUUGGCCCGGAAGCGUGCUAAGUUAUCAAUGAAGGCUGAUACAAGAUUCCUUUUCAGACCAACAAAUCCUCUCUUGUUAUGAAAAAUGCCGAGCUAAUUCAGAACAAGGCAUAAGUGAUAUCCGUGACGAGAGUGAUCGAUCUGGAAUGCGAAUAGUCAUUGAGCUUAAAAGGGGGGUCUGAUCCGGCCAUUGUUCUGAAUAAUGUAUAUCGUUUCAUUGCUGCAACAUGGUUGGAGGCGAAGAGCUGAUCGUGUUCUCUAUUUCAGUGAUAAGGGUAUUGUGUAUUCUGCACCAGCGUACAAAAUUCCGGAAUGUUCUCGUGCAGCUGCAGGUACACCUCUGAUACAGAACCCCAGUCAAAAUGGCUUUGAGGCGAAGGGGCGUCACGCUUUCGGAUACCCUUUGUUGCUUAUUCGGGUUCGAAGUAGAAAAUGAGAUCAGCUCUUCGCCUCUUGCGUUCUCUCUUGCGCUAUUUGAUGGAAUGUUAUGGUCAGACCGAAUCCCUUUUCCCUCAGAAUUCAUACAAUGUGCUCUGUCGAAAUUUUGAUUCGGGAUUGGCAAAAUGUCGUCACUUGGAGAGGGUAAAAUUGUUGGCUUAUAGCCCUCUGGCAAUGGGUUUGCUUUCGGGGAAGUAUCUGUUACCUGAUGGUGGUGCAGCCGAUGCUCGUUUGAAUCUCUUCAGAGGCAGGUAUUCGGAAGGGGAAUCCAGAUACAACUUAUCAAAUCCCACCAUUAGAGAAGCUAUUAAAGCAUACAUUUCCAUUGCAGAACGUUAUGAUAUCCAUCGGGUAUCUCUUGCAAUAGGUUGUUGAUGGUAUUCGGAAGGUAUGCCCCGAAGCUGGUGCGCUGAUCCAUUUUCUGGCUUUAAUGGUAAUUUUCAAGGGAAAAGCUCACUCCUUUGUGACCAAAAAUUUGUUAUUUUAAUAUACCUGUAUAUCUUGUACUGUUAUGAAACCGAAAUCAGAUCUCAUAUGAGCUUUUUCAAGAGCUUCUUCUGUUUACUUUGGAGCUUGUUUUUUUUAAUCCGAAAUAUAUUUUCCACUCA
Long non-coding RNA from Helianthus annuus (common sunflower), 1230 nucleotides. RefSeq lists it as uncharacterized. The transcript is spliced from 12 exons. The record is from RefSeq and is a predicted model, not a curated record. Lineage: Eukaryota; Viridiplantae; Streptophyta; Magnoliopsida; Asterales; Asteraceae.